This 79-nucleotide transfer RNA is filed under the name marine eukaryotic metagenome. It matches the Rfam family "tRNA". From Rfam's summary of the family: Transfer RNA (tRNA) molecules are approximately 80 nucleotides in length. Their secondary structure includes four short double-helical elements and three loops (D, anti-codon, and T loops). Further hydrogen bonds mediate the characteristic L-shaped molecular structure. tRNAs have two regions of fundamental functional importance: the anti-codon, which is responsible for specific mRNA codon recognition, and the 3' end, to which the tRNAs corresponding amino acid is attached (by aminoacyl-tRNA synthetases). tRNAs cope with the degeneracy of the genetic code in two manners: having more than one tRNA (with a specific anti-codon) for a particular amino acid; and 'wobble' base-pairing, i.e. permitting non-standard base-pairing at the 3rd anti-codon position. The record is from RNAcentral.
CAGGUGGCGGAAUCGGUAGACGCAGCGGACUUAAAAUCCGUUGUCCGCAAGGACGUGCGGGUUCAAGUCCCGCCCUGGG